UAGGCGAUUAGUUCAAUUGGUAGAGCGUCGGUCUCCAAAACCGAAUGUUGGGGGUUCGAGUCCCUCAUCGCCUGCCAC
RNAcentral lists this transfer RNA (78 nucleotides) under Enhydrobacter aerosaccus SK60. RNAcentral's name for it is "tRNA-Trp". It matches the Rfam family "tRNA". Rfam says of the family: Transfer RNA (tRNA) molecules are approximately 80 nucleotides in length. Lineage: Bacteria; Pseudomonadati; Pseudomonadota; Alphaproteobacteria; Hyphomicrobiales. The record is from RNAcentral.